GUCCACGCCCUAAACGAUGCGAACUGGAUGUUGGGUGCAACUUGGCACCCAGUAUCGAAGCUAACGCGUUAAGUUCGCCGCCUGGGGAGUACGGUCGCAAGACUGAAACUCAAAGGAAUUGACGGGGGCCCCGCACAAGCGGUGGAGUAUGUGGUUUAAUUCGAUGCAACGCGAAGAACCUUACCUGGUCUUGACAUCCACGGAACUUUCCAGAGAUGGAUUGGUGCCUUCGGGAACCGUGAGACAGGUGCUGCAUGGCUGUCGU
RNAcentral lists this ribosomal RNA (265 nucleotides) under uncultured bacterium. RNAcentral describes it as "partial 16S ribosomal RNA". It matches the Rfam family "Bacterial small subunit ribosomal RNA", at positions 793 to 1055 of the family's 1533-position model. The record is from RNAcentral.